Molecule: ribosomal RNA, 444 nt
Filed under: uncultured bacterium
Lineage: Bacteria
Description: partial 16S ribosomal RNA
Rfam family: Bacterial small subunit ribosomal RNA
Source: RNAcentral
GUAGGGAAUAUUGGGCAAUGGUCGGAAGACUGACCCAGCCAUGCCGCGUGCAGGAAGACGGCCCUCUGGGUUGUAAACUGCCUUUAUCUGGGAAGAAAAAGGCCAUGCGUGGCAAAUUGCCGGUACCAGAUGAGUAAGCACCGGCUAACUCCGUGCCAGCAGCCGCGGUAAUACGGAGGGUGCGAGCGUUGUCCGGAUUUAUUGGGUUUAAAGGGUGCGUAGGCGGCUGAUUAAGUCAGCGGUGAAAGACUUCGGCUUAACCGGAGCAGUGCCGUUGAUACUGGUUGGCUUGAGUGUCGGAGGGGUACAUGGAAUUGAUGGUGUAGCGGUGAAAUGCAUAGAUACCAUCAGGAACACCGAUAGCGAAGGCAUUGUACUGGCCGACAACUGACGCUGAUGCACGAAAGUGUGGGGAUCGAACAGGAUUAGAUACCCUUGUAGUCC